RNAcentral lists this ribosomal RNA (2934 nucleotides) under Endolimax carassius. Its description in RNAcentral is "partial small subunit ribosomal RNA". The stretch from base 591 to 2934 matches the Rfam family "Eukaryotic small subunit ribosomal RNA". Lineage: Eukaryota; Evosea; Mastigamoebida; Endamoebidae. The record is from RNAcentral.
CUGGUUGAUUCUGCCAGUGGUCAUAUGCUUGUGUUAAAGAUUAAGCCAUGCAUGCCUUAGUAUAGGUAGAUUUAACCGAAACUGCGGAUGGCUCAAUAAACCAGUCAUAAUCAAUUUGGUGAAGCAAAGUAGAAGGAUAACCCUGCUAAUUGUAGAGCUAAUACACGACCAUGAUAUCUAAUCUCGGAUGAGAAAAGAUAGCAUUUGUCAGCUCAAUUUUCCUGUAUGAUGAAAACAUCAAUUAUAGGAGAAGGGUAUAAGGACCCAGCCAUGCCCAUUCUAACAGACGCAACACCUCUGCCCAGGAAGCUAAAAAUACAAAACCGAGUCUUGCGAUGUAACGCACACAAACCCCCGUUAUAUCGUUUGUUUUAAUUCCGUUUUUGAAAUCUUUCCAGAUUUUUCUGGAGAGAAAUAGGAGACUGGAAAGGACUUAAAAGACAAGAGUAACUAAAGGGGGCAUAGGAGUGGUGGGCGGCAGAUAGGGGCUUAUACCUUAGAAGCCACAGUUGCAGAGCGACGAAUACAGACAAACGGAAUUUUUAUUUUUAUUUUCUCUCCUUUGGGGAGGAAAUGAGAAUGAGGGUUCAAUAGCGGAUCGCAUUUUAGAAGUUUGGGUGGCAACACCCUUGCGGCGACAGACCAAAAGAAUGACUGACCUAUCAAGCUGAUGGUAGGAUAGGGGCCUACCAAGCUGACCACGGGUAACGGGGAAUUAGGGUUCGAUUCCGGAGAGGGAGCCUGAGAAAUGGCUACCACUUCCAAGGAAGGCAGCAGGCGCGUAAAUUACUCGGUGCCGAGACGGCGAGGUAGUGACGACAAAUACCAAUGCCCAUGGAUCCAUUGUGGUCUGGGGCAAUUGGAAUGAAUACAAGACAAAUGUAUGUGUGAGUAACAAUUGGAGGGCAAGUCUGGUGCCAGCAGCCGCGGUAAUUCCAGCUCCAAGAGUGUAUAUUAAAGCUGUUGCGAUUAAAACGCUCGUAGUCGAAUUUGGGGGUCAAUUUGUUUUUUUUCCAUUGCCCUUUUUCCGUCAAAAGAAAAAGGCAAGCGAAAAUGAAUAAUUAUAGAGUAUAAUUUUUAAUACCACGGGACAAGAAAAAGUGAGGUAUUAUUCUUUUAACAAAAAGAAGUACUCUUUAAAGACCUCUCUGUCAGACGACUAAGUGUGGGACAAGCGGGAGCUACCCUUUGAUGGGAUACAAAAAAAUGCUUUAUAACAAAACUGCGCCACACAAAUUACUUUGAAGAAAAUAGAGUGUUUCAAGCAGAUUGGAAAUGAUGAAUAUUACAGCAUGGGAUAAUAAUGAUAAGACAAAAGAGUGGGGGAAGCAAGCGCAAGCAGACCAGAGACCACAAUUAGACCACAAGCGUAGGCCUGUCACCCAAUGACGAGCACAGUAAUUUUACUCGGUUUUGGGACGGGACGGUUUACAACCUUGUGCAAACAGGGUUGUGGACAACAGAGCCAAGGUUCAGUGACGUCACGAUCUCUAAGUGGGAGACAAGGAGAAGAAGACCCUUGCGGGGGAAUUCCGGACAGCUCAUGUGGUGGAAAGGUACUUUGGACAGGACACUGGGUUUUUUCUUCGGGAGGGAUUUGGUGUUUUGGCUUCUCUGCAACAACAUCUUAAGCAAAGAAUAGGAACAAACGGGGUGGUUUAUACUUUAUAGCGAGAGGUGAAAUUCUAUGAGCUACAAAAGAUAAACAAAAGCGAAAGCAUUCCACAAGAAUGUUUCCAUUGAUCAAGAACGAAAGUUGGGGGAUCGAAGAUGAUCAGAUACCAUCGUAGUCUCAACCAUAAACUAUGCCGACCAGGGAUUGGGGGAAGGUAGCAAUGUAAAGCAAUUUUUCUUCAACCGAGGGAAAAGUGAUUUAUGUUGUGUAUCGAAAUGAGACUGGCAUUUCUGUUUAUUUUAUCUAAAUAUUUGCGACCGCCAUUGUAACAGAUGGGGGAAGGGAAUAGAUUAGGUAGUAAAUAGAGGAUAUAAUGCUCCAAGAUAAAAUAAGUCUCUACUAGACUCUUCCAGCACCUAGAAGAGAAAUCGAAUAAGUGUUUGGGCUUCGGGGGGAGUAUGGUCGCAAGGCUGAAACUUAAAGGAAUUGACGGGAGGGCACACCAGGAGUGGAGCCUGCGGCUUAAUUUGACUCAACACGGGGAAACUUACCAGGGCCAGAUAGCAGGAGGAUUGACAGAUUGAGAGCUCUUUCUUGAUUUGCUAGGUGGUGGUGCAUGGUCGUUCUUAGUUGGUGGUGUGAAUUGUCUGGUUAAUUCCGAUAACGAACGAGACCUUAACUUAUUAAGUACAUCUCCGGGAUGCGGGACUUUUUAUCUUUUUUCUUAUCCCCUUUUUUGAUUGCAUUUCUUUGGGAGCAAUUUCAAGCAGAUGUUUUGAAAGAAGAAUAAGAAGGAAAAAAGUCAAACACCACUCCCAGCUCCAGGGCAGAACAUUUCAGAUUUAUAUUACUUUAUAUCAUGUAGAAGCAAUUCUAUGUGGUGUGGAGUGGUAUAAUUAUGGUGUGUUUAAGCCGGGAGGCGCAACAACGCGAGAUUUCUUAAAAGGACUAUUCGUGUUUAUAUAAACCUAACGGAUGGAAGUUUGAGGCAAUAACAGGUCUGUGAUGCCCUUGGAUGCUCUGGGCCGCACGCGCGCUACAAUGAUGGAAUCAAGGAGUAUUUUUCUAAUAGGGGCUAUUUAAUUAAUUUCAUUUUCAGUUUUUUCUUCGGAAGAAAAUGAGGAGGAAACUAAAUAAAUGUGACCCUUGGAAUAACCGAGCCCGAAAGGGUAAGCAGGUAAACUUUGUAAAAACCGUCAUACUGGGGAUAGAUGAUUGGAAUUGUUGGUCUUGAACGAGGAAUUCCUAGUAAGCACAAGUCAACAACUUGUGCUGAUUACGUCCCUGCCCUUUGUACACACCGCCCGUCGCUAGUACCG